This 23371-nucleotide long non-coding RNA is filed under the name Populus tremula. RNAcentral's name for it is "long non-coding RNA (PTRE_LNC002436)". The stretch from base 6388 to 6543 matches the Rfam family "MIR2912 microRNA precursor family". The record is from RNAcentral. Lineage: Eukaryota; Viridiplantae; Streptophyta; Magnoliopsida; Malpighiales; Salicaceae.
GUCAUGUUGAACACAGAUGGUGGUAAUCGCCCAUUGAAGUGUUGUUGGACAGCUUCAAAAACCACAACGAGGAGCCUACUGUUGGAAAUUAUGCUCAAGCAGUUCACAAGACAUGUGAUUGUUGGAAAGAUCCAAGUAUUCGAGAGAGCUCAUAUUCCCAAAACAAGGAGGAAUACAACCUGUGAGGCUGUUGUUAGCCAUCAUGAAGUUCUUCAAACGUGGAAAAAUCGAACAUAUGUUGCUUGCAAUUUGACCUUGUAUGUUGUUGCCAGACAUAUCUACUGUCUGAAGGUUGGGUGUUGGAUGUUGUGGCAGCUGCAAAGGACCACCUAUAAAUGAGGUGUCUCUCAAAUAUAGUCGAUUUAACAAUCUAUUAUUCUCAAACAGCCAAGAUGGGAAAGGUUCUCCAACGAAUUUGUUGUGGGAUAGAUCAACAAACACCAAAUCAUGUUGGCUAUGGAGGAAGUUUGGAAAUCCAGCUUUGAGUGGUUUUGGAGUACAGUUUGAAGCACUAAAAGCACGAAGCUGGAACUUUGGAACUAAAGGCUGAAAACUGGGUGCAGCAAUUAGCUCAUUGUUAUCGCAUGCAAUGAACUUGAGGUUGGUGAGGUUCAUAAAUGAACCAAAUGAUAUUGGAACUUGAAAGUGGUUAUUUGAAACUUCGAGGUAUUUGAGCUGCGUAAGAUGGGAAAGGUGACUAAGGGCAAUAUUGCCCUCCAAUUGGUUGUCAGAUAAAUCCAAGAUUUGUAAAGAUGAUAGAUUUCCAAAACAAGGAGGGAGUACGCCUUUUAGAUUGUUUCCUGAGCGAAUGUUUGAGAGAAAUAGUUGUUCAAGAUUCUUCAAUUCACACCAGCCUGUAAAAUAUAUCAAUUAUGUAAUAUAUCAAUAAUAUCUCGAAUUGAAGAAAGUCCAUGUGAAAGAGAAAGAAGAAAAGGUACGAUGAAAAGAGUGGUGGUACACAAUAUCCAUUCCUUUCAAUAUUAACUUAAAUUAGUAUCUUUAAGAUUGCAUUUUUUGUCAAGAAGGAUAGAGUGGAAGUAUCCAUUUUGUGUAUUGUAAUAUAAUCAUCUGUUAAGCAGAAGUAAAACAGAGGAAUGAUUAUGUUAUUUCUUGCGUGCGGAAUCCUCCUACCAUUAUAUAUAUACUUCCCCGCAUGCAUUACACGAUUUAUUAUAUUGUUAACUAACUUUAACCGUCUCUUAACAACUUCUAACACGUGUCCAUGCAUCUGUCAGCUAUCUUAAAUUUAAGACUGAGAAAUUUUAGAGAUUGAGAAACUCUAGAUUUUAUCCUUUUCUAUACGUAACAUUAGGAGUAAAUUUCUAGUUUAAUAAAACACAGAUAUAGCACAAAUAUCUAAUGAACAACUGUUAUUUGGAUUUCAAUACUCUUAUAAUUGUUCAUUUGUAGAAUUACCUUCAGCAGGUAGGGUGCCAUGGAAGUCAACUCCUCUCAAGGAUAGGACUUUAAGAGUAGACAAGAGUCCAAUGUUCCUAAGAAAGCUUGCUGGGAGAGAAGAAUAAUCGAGGACCACUUCUUCAAGGCUAGACGAAUUACACAACCCUGUGGCACAGAUCAUAUAAAUCCAUUAAUGAUAGUGAUAUAUAUAUAUAUAUAUAUAUCAUAUUGUUUUAGGCACCAAAUUAAACUGUUACUGACCUUUCCCAAAGUGUUUAAAAUUAAUAUCAUCGGCAUAUAAGGUCUUGAGGGAAGGCAACGCUCCCAAUGACUCUAUUAAAAUGUUUUCCUUGUAGUCAGUUGAAUCCAUAUACAAGAUUUCUAAAUUCCUUAAACCUGUGAUAGAGAGAACCAUUAAUAAUAAUUAAUUAAUAAUUUAUAAACGUUACAAGACAUAGCUUAAGUUUUAAAUUAAAAUAAUUUUUAAUAUAAUAUUAAAAUUUUAUUAAUUCAAUAUUCACCUUCAUUUAUUUUUUUAAAAUUAAAAAAUUGAACAAAAGUUAAUAGUACUGUGUGUAUGUAAGUUUCAAAUUAUUUCACUAAAGAAAAUGCAUUAAAGAAUUAAUUAUAUAAAGCCUUUUUAAGGUUUCAUCCAAACAACUUAAGGGUUAAUACACAUCUAAUUAUUGAACCUCACUAGAAAAUGCUAUCAGAGGUAAGAAUGAUUUACAACUUUACCAUUGAGACUAGUUGAUCCUGUGAAUCUAUUGUUUGAUAGAUAUAGAGAUUUAAGAGAUGAAAAACCACUUAGAGAUGAUAAAAUGUUGUCGUUAAAUUUAUUGCAUCUCAGAUCAAGUUCCUUCAAAUUCCUUAACCCUGAAGCUAAGACUUGAAAACCUGAAAGAAAAUUGUCGAAGCAAAGAAAUUAGCAUAUAUAUCAACCAUCCUAAUAUCCGUAAAGAUUCAAUGUAAAGUUACUUGAAAUAUAAUUAACUUUAUGUGUUAACUAAAAGAAAAUUGAAAGCAUAGAACCUUGGUUCUUUAAGCCACCAACUAAUUUGUUGACGCUUAAGUCGAGAAUCUCCAGUUCUUUGAAAGGCAGAAACAAAGACGCAUUGAGAUCCAAGUCGACUUCGACUACAUUGAGAUAAUCAUAAUUUACAUCUGAAAGAUAUAGUUCGAUCACUCGGUUUGUGGUGGUGUCACACACAACCCUAAGCCAGUUACAGCAAUUAAAAUGCUCUUUAUCCCAACCUUCUAGAUCAUAGGACACAGCUGCACGUGCAUGAUUGACCCAAGCUUUUAUCUGUAAGAGACUAAUUCUCUCUUCGUCCAAACAACAAUGGCUCCGGUCGUUGAAGAAGGCCAGUGCCAUGAGCAGCAUCCACACCCACAUUUGCCUCAUCUUCAUAACGCUCCACUUGACCACAUACAAAAGCAAGCAAGCUGUCUCUUAUAUACUAUUUAAUUUGUCCUCUUCAUGCAUUAAUUUGAUCGGACAGUGACAAUUAUCUGUAUCAUUGAAUUUUCUAUGCCGAAUUAAUUAUCCAAGGGAGACUUGGGCUGCAUCUGCCAGCUACCAUAAUUAAUCUGCACUAACAGUGACCAUAACAGCUGUAACAAUACUCCCUCAGUACUUGUAACAUCAUCCUAAUAUAUAUUGAAUUAUUUGAUGAAAACAUUAUCUAAAACAUGAUUAAUUGACAUAUUUAAAGUCAAAUAAAAAACAAACCCAACUUAUUUUUAAUAUUAAAAAUUAUUUUCCAAUAUAAAUUUUUUAAUAUAAAAAUUUAAUAAAAUUAAAAUAAAUUAUGAUUACUGUUUGAGAAAUUGAUUUGAUCUUGGGCCCCAUAAUUAUUUUCACUAGUCUGUUAAAGUUCUUUUUCAAGCUUAUGGAAUGAGGUGCUCCUUCAAGUUAUUGUGUAAGCUACUUUGUUUUUUUUUCUUUGUAGACUCGGGAAGUCAUUUGUUUGAACAUUUGAUUUUCUAAAAAGUUUUUAUAUCUAUUUGUUUCUGGAUUAUAAAAAUAUUUUUAAAAAAAAUUAAAUUUUUUAUUAUUUUUUUAUUAUUUUUAAAUUAAUAUAUUUUUAAUAUUUUUAAAUUAUUUUUAUGUGUUGAUGUCAAAAAUAAUUUUUAAAAAUAUAAAAAAUAUUAUUAAUAUAUAUUUUAGUACAAAAUAUUUUUUAAAAAAGAAUCUCAACCAGACGGUUAAUCUCAUCAUCCACUAGCGCAUGUUUUUAUUCUUCCGGAGACCUGUGAAGUCAAGAUUCUCAAUUAUCCACUGCAUCAAUCUCUAUCCCAUCAAAAUGAAUUUGGUGUAAGAAAAAAAUAUCUGAUAUAUGUGAUUUACUCCUGGUUUGACCCCUCCCUCCCUCCAUAAAGUUAUCAUUUAACUCCACUUUCGAGAUAAAAUCUUAAACUUCUUUAGAUUUUUUCCUACCCUUGAAAUUGUUAUGAACAUAAGUAAAAGAGAUGAAAACUCCUUUACCCACGUAUCGAGCAUACCCUAGUUACAUAACACUAGUUAAAUCUUGACAUAACAUUUCAAGUUAAUUAAUGGCUAGGAUUUUGUUUAGUGGAUUUUUUUUUGAAAUUAAAUAUCAUAUCAAUAAAUAAAUAGCAACUAAAAAUAUAACUACUAAAAUAGAUAUUUUAUUUUGUUAAUUUUAUUUGAAAAAGCUUUUGAACAUAAGGACUCCAUAUAUAUAUAUAUAUAUAUAUUUUUAUGCUUAUUAUAUUGGAUAUGUUUAAUGCCCCGGUAAUAACCAGGAUAGGAGGCCGACUUAAUUAGAGUUGAUAGGGCACAAAUAUAUAUAUAAUGUGCUCCGAUUAAUACAAAAAUAAUUAUAAUAAUAAUUAAGGUUUGUUUUUUUAUUCAGUUUGUUGUUAUCUAUUUUUAGGUUCUCUCACACAAAACAAAUUUGAAAGAAAACAAAAAAUAUGAACAAUUGAUUUGAUCUUAUGAAAUACAUGGCAGAAGAGAUUAGAAAAUGAUUUCCAUUUGUCAGAAAUACACCCCAAUAGUCUUAAUUUGAAUUGCACUUUGCACUCCUUUUCCAGCGAUCAAUAGCUAGGAAACCUGUCAGUGAAAUCUUUAUUAUUUGCUCCGGGUUGCUGCUGCUGGUUACUCUGUCACGGAUUAUUAUUUUUCAGUAGUCAGUUAUCCUAGUGCUUGCUUGGACAUGCUCAACAAUGGAGUUUCUCUAAAUGUAAUUCCCACAGUGAAAUCUUCUGUCAAAGUCAUUCCAAGCCGGAAAAGAUCAGGAAAAUGAAGUCUUGAAACAUCAAGCGAAUAGAGCCCAGCAGGAAAAAUUCGUUUCUGACGGUGAGAUUUGUAAUGUGAUCCUAGCUAGUAAACCCAAGGUUGUCAAUUCGGUUCCGUUUCGUCCGGAAUGACCGAAACAUUCAUACCAAUUUAAAAAACGGAAUAAAAUGGAAUAAAUUUCAUCUCAUUUUAAAUCUCGAUCUGUUCCGGAUUUUUCAGCUAAAUUCCGCCCGGAAUGUUCUGGUUUCAUUUUACAUGUUCCGUUCCGCUCUUGAAAAGCCAUUGAAUCAAAUUGAACCUUGUUCAAUUUAAUUAAUUAAACCAUCCAAUUAUAAAAAGCUCAUUUUCAUUACUAUUCUCAAUAAUGACACGAUCAAAAGAUUGAUGUCUCUCCCAAGUGCAGGAGUGUUGAAGUAAUAAAUAACCCGGUAAGACCGGGGUCAAACCACAAAGAGGUUAAUUGUAUAAAUUAUAAAUAACAAUAGAACAACAACAAAAACAAUAAUAACAACAAUAACAACAACAAUAAUAACAAUAAUAGUAAUAAUAAUAAUAAUACUCAGUACGUGGCGUUGUUAUACCUGAGAAUGAUCUAAAAGAUCGGGUCACAAGUUUCCAGCCUAUAUACUGAUCGAGUUUAUAAAAAGAUCAAAGAGAUAUAUUAUAUAAUAUAAACAGAAUGUAAAUAAUAAUAAUAAUAAUAAUAAUAAUAAUAAUAGUAGUAGUAGUAGUAGUAGUAGUAGUAGUAGUAGUAGUAGUAAUAGUAAAAAGAAAAGGAAGAAGAAAUUAAUGAGAACUUUGAGAUGGAAGAAUAAUGUAAGGAUUAAACAAUGAUAAAAACAAAUGUCAAGGUUAGAGGAUCCACCAAUGGUAUUUCAAACAAGUAUAGUAUAAACUCUUAUUACUCAAUUUGGAAACCACACACGAGGAGGUUCCAAUCGGAUGAUUUGUCAUUAAUAGCUCAUUAUAAAUUAUUAACAUGAUCAUAUUAAUUAUCUUAUUUACAUAACACCAAACUUUUAAAUAUUCAGGAAUUCAUGAUGUUAACUGAUGUUAACAACAAAUCAAGUUCCUUUCAUAGCCAGGUGUAGGUAAUACCAUACGGUUGGGCUAUGAGAGUGCCAAGCAUUUGUUGUACCAAGUGUUAUACAACACAAAUCUAGAUUAACCAUUUAACAAGCAAGGUAUUAAGAAUUAGUAAGAUAAAAAGAUAAGACAUGUUAAUAUUAAACAUUAAGGUCCAUGUUGAGUUUACACUAUACUUAUUCUUACACCAUUAGUGUAACCUUUUCACCUUGACAUAAUAAACUUAGCUAAACAUAAUGAAGAAGAGAAACAUAAAUAAACAAAACAAGAACAUAAAGAAAAUACAAGUUAACUAAGUAAAGGAAAGGAAAUGAAAAGCAUAAACAAGAUAUUAAUGAAAGCAAAACUUAAAAAUUACAAAAAAAAUAUAAAGAGAGAAAUAAAGAGCAUGAACUUGAUCUGAACAACCAAGCCCCUAAAUACAUGGCAAAUGCCUCCUUUUAUAGGCCAAAAUUCAGAAUUAUUGAUUUGAUGACUAAUUGUUGAGUGGGUGGCCAACUUUUGACUUUGUGAAAAUCCUUAUCUUCUUGUCUGAAUAAAACAAAAUGCUAGCAUCAGAACUGGGUCCACUUGAAAACAUGAAAGUUGUAGGAAAUUGACUCAGCUUUCCAGGAAAAAAAAUGGAGGUCAUUUGGACUUCUAGAACUCCAGAUAUGGGCCAAACACUAAACAAUGUUCGGGCUGCAGGACAGAUUCAGACUUCUCCGUUGUUGCUAUAAUUUGGACUUGCAAACGGCCUUCUUAGAUCUUGAUGAAAACAUGAAAGUUGUAGGCAUAUGUCUUAGUGAAUUUGUGUAAAAAUUUGAGAUCAUUUUGACAUCUAGAACACGAGAUAUGACCCAAUUACCAAACAGUGUUCCAGUUUGGACUGCACCAACAUCUCUUUUCUAAGCUUCACCCUCUUUUUGUCCUUUCAAUUUCCAUACUUGAACUCAUCAAUCAAUCCAUUGAUUUAUAUGAUAGGCCUGCAUUUAAGAUGAACAUUUACCAUAUAUUAAGGCAUUUUAAAGUAUUAGACUUGUUAUUAUAAAACAUUCUUUAGUUAAGGAGUUAUUAAUACUUUAAGUGCAAAAUGAUGAUAUAAAACCUUGAUAAAUAUGCACUUUUAAGUACUAAUCAAGUAACAAUGAUAUUAAUAAUAAUAUUGAAAAUUAUUAUUACUAUUUUCAUUAACAAUGAUAUUAAUUUUUUAAAAUUAGAUUUAUCACUAAUAUAUACGAUUUAUAUUCAUGUUGUUUUUUUCAUGUUUAUACUUUGUAGGAAUUUUAGCAAAAUAAGAGAUUCUUUAGAUUCCAUUAGCCUUGAUAACAUUGACCUAAUUUUAUAUUUUAAAUAUUUUUGUUAAAACAUUUUACUUUCAUAAUAUUUUGAUAUUUUGUUCAAGUUGAAUUACUUUAAGUUAAAGAUUUAUUUAAUAUUGACUAUUUAGAAAUAUUUUAAAUUUUAAAAUUAUAUUUGUUUGGCAUUGUGUUUGUAUUGCUUAAUUUAUAAUUAAUUUAUCUUGAAUUCGAAUUAUGUUUGCUGAAUAUAUAUAUAUAUAUAUAUAUAUAUAUAUAUAUAUAUAUAUAUAUAUGAACAAUACAACCCCGAAACGACACACCGAAAUACUUCAAAACUAAAACAUUUUAUUUUAAUUGAAAAAAAAAAAUACCUACCGGAACGAAAUUGACAAUCUUUAGUAAACCUCAACCAAAGAUCAUAAUGCCAAAAUUGUAGUCAAAGAGACUUGGAACUCCCUGCUGAUGGGCUGUUUAUUCUGCCAAAAUUGCAUGGGCCGUUUUACAGCCUUCGUAAUGGGCUUGGCUACUUUGGGUAGUUAAAAAAACCCAAAUAGAUAAUGUUUUCUUUUCCUUUGGUAUCCGUUUAAUCAAUCUUCUGGUUUGAUCCUUGAUAGUGCUGUGUUUUGAUGCUUGUCGAUUAGCCACAAUAAUGUUAAAUUUACAAGGACAGAUCCAAGAAAAGCAAUGCAGGCCUGUAUUUACUUUCAUAUUAAUUAUUGUUUGAAUAUUCUUAAUCUGAAUGAUAUUAGUCCAUUCAAAACAAAUUCAUUUUCUUUUUUAUAAAUAUAUUUAUAUAACAAUGAAAGAAGAAAAUGCAUUGAUUAAAAUAUUAUUGAUGUGUUUGAAUGAAGAAAGUUAGGGCAGAGAUGACCAAUAUAAAGACCGUGUGGGCCAAUAAAAUGAAUACAAAAAACAAUAUCAAUGGCUUGCAAAAAAAAAAAGUUUUAUGUUAAAUUUAUCUAUAUGUUAAAUUACUUGAUUAACUAAACUUAAUCCUGUAAUAUUAAAUUAUUUGAUGAAAAUAUUAUCUAAAACAUGUUUAAUUGACAUAUUUAAAGUCAAAUAAAAAACAAACCAUGUUUACUGUUAAUAUUAAAAAUUAUUUUUCAACAUAAACUCUUUAACAUAAAAAUUUAAUACAAUUAAAAUAAAUUAUGAUUAUUGUUUGAGCAAUUGAUUUGAUCUUGGACCCUACAAUUAUUUUCGUUAGUCUGUUAAUGUUUUUCUUUAAGCUUGUGGAAUGGGGUGUUCUUCUAAUUUAUUGUGUAAGCUAUUUUGCUUUUUUUUUUUUCAUAGACUUGGGAAGUCAUUUGUUUAAGCAUUUGAUUCUCUGGCAAGUCUUUAAACGCAUUCAUAUUUGUAUUUGGUUAUAUAUUGAAAAAUAUAUAAAUUGUAGGCCCUAUUGUUUAUAUAAGGUAGUACUCGAUUAUGAAAAAGCAAUUAUUUUAUUGCUUUUUUGCAAGUUUAAUCAUUGGUUGAAUUUUUUUAUAUGGCCGGCAUAGUGAAUUCUUAAAAAAAAAAAAAAACAUGUUUAUUAAUUGGGAAUGGAAAUUAUUUUUUCAAUUAUUAAAUUUUUAAAAAAAAUUCAAGAGCACUAAAAUAGUUUUUUUUAAGAAACUUGUUUUUCUUCUUCCACUAGCACUUGUUUUUUUUUUCGUAGACCUGUGAAGUCAAAAUUCCCAAUUAUCCACUACAUUAAUCUCUAUCCCAUCAAAAUGAAUUUGGUCCAAGAAAAAAAAUAUCUAUAUAUGUGAUUUAGUCCUGGUUUUAUAAAUUAAUUAGAAAGUGUAAAUUAUCUGUAUCAUUGAAUAUAUACAAUUUUGUCCUCUUCAUGCAUUUGAUCGGACAGUGACAAUUAUCUGUAUCAUUGAAUUUGCUAUGUUGAAUUAAUUAUCCAAGGGAGACUUGGGCUGCAUUGAAUGGGAGAGUCUUCACGGACAGUGCUAACCAGGGGCCCGCACCACGGCACAGAUCGCUCGGUUUGUGGUGUUGGAUUAAAGGAUAUUAAUUCCAACUUCUUGUUUACUGCUUUGCUUUUCUUCAUAGACUUGGGAAGUCAGGUGCUGUUUAUGAACAAUUGAUUUGAUCUUAUGAAAUACAUGGCAGAAGAGAUUAGAAAAUGAUUAAUAUUAUCAAUAAUUUCUUCUUACUGCACCUACUGAUUUUUAUUUCUUGUGAAAUAUUUAGAAUAUCUCUUUUGAAAUAUCAAUAUCGCCUACCCCCACUUCCUUCAUUUUUGUUAACGGAGUGAAAUGAUUUCCGACGCAGCUACUAAUUUCAUCAGCCACUUUCACUUGUUUUUAUUCAUAGACUUGGGAAGUCAAGAUUCCCAUAAUCAAAAUGAAUUUGAUCGAAGAAAGGAAAAAAUGAAAAAAAAAAAAAAACAUUACCAGUGGCUUACAAAAAAUAAAUAAAUAAAACCAUCAAUUACGAGCUUCAUAAGAGAAUUUUAGCUAUUUUGUCUUAAACUCAACAGAAUAUUCUUUAGGAAGCGUUGGGAACGGUGCAAACCGCGUUCCCACCAAAUUUUAAAUUUUUUUUUGUUAAAAUUUAAUAUAGUUUGUAUUUUUUGGAUUGUUUUGAUGUGCUGAUAUUAAAAAUAAUUUUUAAAAAAUAAAAAAAUAUCAUUAACAUAUAUUUUAGUACAAAAAAUUAUUUUAAAAAUAACUAUUAACAUACUUACAAACAGGACAGUUAAUCUUCAACUAAUCAACCGAUGAUCAUAAAUGAUGCCAAAAUUGUAGUCAAAGAGACUUGGAACUCCCUGCUGAUGGGCUGUUUAUUCUGCUAAAAUUGCAUGGGCUGUUUUACAGCCUUCGUAAUGGGCUUGGCUACUUUGGGUGAUUAAAGAAACCUAAAUCGAUAAUGUUUUCUUUUCCUUUGGUAUCCGUUUAAUCAAUCUUCUGGUUUGAUCCUUGAAAGUGCUGUGUAUUGAUGCUUGUCGAUUAGCCACAUAAUGUUAAAUUUACAAGGACAGAUCCAAGAAAAGCAAUGAAGGCCUGUAUUGGUCUCUGAGAGUUCAAAAUAAGACCCCCUGAUAAAGGCUGCAAUCAUUGCUUGAACCCCUGUAAAGGGGCCUUGACACAUGCGGUCCACUGAAGAAGUACAGCACCGUUCUUUAUUUAAUUCUUAUGGUUUAAAUCUACUAAUGACUUAGUCAUUUUGCAUGCUAUUUUUCCACUUGUUUUCUAAAAUAGAGAAAAGAACUGUUAAGCAUGCUGGAUAUUUCGCAUAAUAAGCUCUCCGGUCCUUUAUCCGGAGAGCUUAAUUUAACUUUCAUGGCAAACGAUGCAAAAUGCUAUGUAUCUUUUACUUGGCCUAGUAUUCAAUAUUUUGAUCAGUCAAAUCUUGUACUCAUGGGUUUGCCUCAAGUAGGCGAUUCUUAUCGUGAAACUAAGUACACAAACAACAUUGCACAUUAAUCUGUCGAGUUCUCAACAAAAAGACAGUCUUACUCCUAUCGAGAUGAUCUUAUUACUUUCAUGUCUGGUAUUGAUUUUUCUUGCAACGGAUUCACUGGCAAAAUCCCACCAAAUUUAGAGAUUGUAAGUGAGCUACGAGCGGUAAAUCUAUCACACAUCAAUCUCAUUGGAUCCAUCCCCGCAACUCUUUAGAACCUGAAGCAGAUUGAGAGUUUGGAUCUUUCUCACAGCAAAUUGACCGGUAUCAUCCCUUCGCAGCUUAUUGAGGUGAGCACAUUGGAGGUUUUCAGUGUUGCAUACAAUAACUUGUCCGGUAAAACUCCAGAGAGGAAAGCUCAGUUCGGCACCUUUGAUGAAAGUAGUUAUUAAGGAAAUCCUCUUCUUUGUGGACCUCCAUUGUGAAUUUGCAGUGAAACAAACUCGUAAUUGCAGCCUGUACCUAAUAAUGAACAAGAAGAUAAUAAUGGUUUCAUAGACAUGGAUGCUUUCAUUGUGAGCUUUGAGGCAUGUUACAUAAUUGUCUCGUUGGCAAUUGCAGCAGCUCUUUACAUAAAUCCUUACUGGAGAAGAAGAUGGUUUUACUUCAUUGAAGAGUGCUUAAGCAAUCGCUACUGUUUUGUGUGCAGACGUAGGCACAUCUUCAGAUGGACAUAGGGGUUGAUGCUUGCCAUUUGUUCUCAGUUAUACUAAGAAAGAAUGAACCGCGACUCUGUCCACCAUUCUCUCCUGUGCAUGAACAAAUUAGUGAAGGAAUAUUUGCAGUGAUAUAUGUUAAUGGUUUCCUGACUUCAUUAGAAUAUUUUGCUCCCAUUUUCUUUGCUCCAUGAACUGAAUAUAUAUUGCAACAUAAUUGUGGUGUUGUCAAUCACAGCAAUUAUGCACAUAAAUCCUUACUGGCGCCGCAGGUGGUUUUACUUCAUUGAAGAAUCGCAACUAUUAUGCUGCUGUUUUCUAGUGGUUAGUUUCCGUAAGCUGUCCAACAUCAUGUCAUCGAACCUCUGUAUAAUCAUUCAAUUAGAUGACACAUUUAAAAAUUUUAAAAACUAAUAAUACUAUAACUAUGAAGAACACCUAAAAUAUUUAAUUUUAUUCUUCCAAGUCUCUGCUAAACUAAUGAUACACAAUUGUGGUACUAGCAAUUGCGGCAGUUUUGUACAUAAACCCAUAUUGGCGACAUAGGUGGUUUUACUUCAUUGAAGAGUGCAUGGAGACUUGCUACUACUUUGAAUUGCAUACAUUUCAUAAGCUAUCCUCCUUCACAAGGCCAUAGGGAUCUGACGCGUGCCUUUUGUUUUUUCAUAUUUUUUAGUUUGAACUAAUAAAACCUUUACUUUUUUUCAAGCUUCAGUUCAUUUUAUUGCAGUUUCUCAAAUGAAUUCUACAAAUUCAAGAUAUAUAUCCAUCCUUAAUGCCAUAUUAAAGAGAAUAUAUAGAGAGAAAAAGAGGAGCUUUACGUGAUAUGGAUAGCGUGAUGCUCCUAAGCCUAGAACCAGCUAAAACUUAAUAUUAUGAUGAAUAAUUCAGCAAAACUUAAUUCAAUUUCAACUUCCAAUCUCAUCAUUAGUACAAAAUGCACAGUCAGAUUGAAAGGAAAUUGAUUGGAACUUGAAAUUCGGGUAACAAUACUUCUAGCAGAGCUUCCUCCUUACCCUCUCCCUAUUGUAUCUUCUUCGAGUGGAACUCUAGCUUUUUGCCCUCCAAGAUAUAUGUUCUCAUCUUUCUCCAGUACUCUCUUUUCCAUCCAGCAUAAGCAAUCACAACUUACCUCAACGGAAAACUUUAUAGCCAACUUCAACCAAUAUUUAAAAGGAAUUUUGUCCUUUGUUUAAUAAGCAAAAUCAACAGAACCUGUCUUUGACUUUCUAGCUCAUAUAUAGCAGUAGCCAUUUUAAGGAGCAGAAACAAACACUGUAGAGAUUUAUCAUCACGAAAAUCUGGUUGAUUUAUUAUCACGAAAAUCGAAAAUCUAGUUGAUUUAUCAUUACGAAAAUCUAGUUAAAACAAAUUAAUAUGAAAUCAAAUCGAGGAUGAAAGGUUGAUUUUGAGAUCAAGAAUAGCAUAUAUUAAAAAGAUAAUAAAUAAAAUUAGAGUAAUAACAUUGAUACAACUUAUCAUUAAAUUUCAUUUGCAAUUUCCUCUCGAUUUUCUGUAGUUCUGUAGAGACAAAGAUUAGUUGGUCCUUACGGGAAUUUUUCUUCCUUAAUUUCACUCCCAUUUCCCAAACGAUGGAAUUCAUACAACCUUUCGAUUUUAUUUCCACGUAAAAUCCAUUCUUCUCUAUCAAACAGAACAUAAUAAUGGGCCAUAUUUUAAUUUAAAUAUCUUUUUCCUAAUAUUUAAAGCUUUUUUGCUGGGAAAAUAUCAUGGGGAUUUGAGAGAAAAGACAAUAGAUAAGAAAGCACAUGAAAAAAAGUGAGAGAAAAUGAUGGUGGGUCUUCAUUAUUCAAGGACCGUAUUGGAACUCUUUGGAGGCAUGCGUGAGAGGUGAAAUGGAAACGUAUAGGGACCAAAUUGUUAUUUCAAUGAAUAUAUAGGGCUUAAAAUGCAAUUUACCCUUAAUUUUUUCAUGGAUGACGCAGUCACAAGGAGAGGAUAUAUAUAUGUCAUUUCUGAAAUGAGAAGACAGGCAGUGGCAAUAAGUAAAAUUUCAUAAAUCAUCAUCAAUCAAAAAUCAUGACGUGGGGACAGAUUAGACGGUUGAUUGUGACUUUUUUUACCCUCUCUUUCUCCCGGUGGGGGGUUUUAGGACAGUAUCGCGCGAGAUGCGCGGGCGCUGUGCUCUUACAUUUCCAAGGUGUAUAGUGGGAUCCAUGUCUUUAUUAAACCAAUUAAACCCACUGGGAUUCUAGUUUUUUUUUUUAAAAAAAAAACAUUUCAUAAAAGUCCUCAAACUUCGAGUCUCAUCUCUAUCAUAGCAAUAUUAUAAUUUUUAUUCAUUUUUAGUUAACAAAAAGUUUAUGUAAUCAAUUGAAGUUUAUAUGGUUUUUUUUUAUAUAUAAAAAACCAAUGAAUUCUUUAAAAAUCUCAUUUUAAAUCGCUUGAAACUAAUUUCAUAAAGAAACACAAAGAUUUUACAUUUAUAUAAUUUGUUUAAUUACAUAAACAAAUUAUAUGAUAAGAUGAAGAGAUAUCACAUAAUUGUUUGAUUUUAUAACCCUUUAAAACAAACUCAUCAAAAUAUUUAAUCCAAAUUCUGAAUAAGUAACCAUAUCUAAUGUAGAUAGUUUUGAAUAAUUUGAUAAUUUUUAAUAGUCAAAUGUAGAUUUAUCACAAUUUAGAUCAUAAAUAUAUAACCCAAUAAACUCAUAAUAUGAACAAAUAUAACUGGGCUAACUUAAGAAAAAAAACAAAUUGGUGCAAAAUGACUAAUCUAACUAUAAAAGUUUAAAUUUUAAUUUGACCUCAUGGAAAUCAUUCUCAAAUUUAAUUAGGAGAUUUUAUGGUUUUAAUCUAAAAAAUUUUGCAUUUUAUAUUGUAAAAACCUAUAUCAUAUCAAGAUUAAACUUCAGUAAAAAAAAAUAUUAGAAGGAGAGUUUUUUUAUAUAUAGAAUUACGUUAUAAAAAAAAUAUUAGUCUAACUUAAGUUUGGAAUGAAAACUUAAGUGAAAUUUAACAGUCUGCAACAACAAUCCUUUACCAUCCACCAUUAAAUGAUCAACAGAUUUUUUUAAGGACAAUAUAAAUUCUGAAAGAGCGUAGACAUGAAUGACAGCCAAGAACCACCCAACAGCCAUGCAGGGUCUAGUCUGCAUGGCAAUGGUCCACUCAAUCGCUGAAUCCACAUGAACAGUCUAAUGAACUGCUCAACAUGCAUUUGGUUCUGGUAAUUCAAUUAUGCGAAGGGUGUAGGUCCGAAUUCUUCAACUUAAACAAACAUGUUUGCGUAAUUAAGUGUUCAAUCACGUACUUAAUUUGCUAUUGAAAACAUUUAGAAUUUAUCAACAAUUUAAUUAAGCAGGUGUAUACAACCUUCCAACAUUAUGGAAUAAAAAUAUGACAUUUGGCGUUCUCAUCACAUAUUAUGAACUGUUAGGAUGUUGCAUGAAGUAUUAUCUGAAUAUAUAUGUUAUGAACUGUUUGCAUGAAACAUGUUAGGAACUGUUAGGAUGUUGUCGCAUAACUAUUAUCAUGCUACAUAACACUAUUUCAGUUGUGCUUGCAGGUAUACAUUAAUGAAGCAUUUGUUCAUGAUUGAACUAUCUGAACUACUUACAUGCCAAUUCAUUCUCAUGAUGUUUUGUCAUAAAUCAACUAAAGAGGGAGAUUGUAAAUGUCAAAAUGUUUGGUUUUGAUUAGUGAAAGAUUAUUUGCGUUGUUGAAGAUUAUUUUGUUUAGGUUUCUACUUUAUUCAAAUUAGAUAAUGAAUUAGUCAAAUUUAUCUCAUAGGAUAUAGCAUGAUUAUUUAUGUAAUUAUCUAUGGAUAAAUUAUAUAGGAAAUUCAGAUAAGUUUUAUAAAAAAAAAGAUAAAUACAAGUUAUCGGAAGAUAACAAUUAGAGAAGUGUUUUUGUGAAACAUGUUAGCAGUUUUUUAAGAAUGUAACAAACUAGGAAACUUAAAGAUAAUGUUUAUUAAAUGUUCUUAUCCUUUUCACAUGGAUGUGUAUAUAAAGAAGGACAAUCAGAAGCAUUUGAGAGUUGCAUUGGAAGCAGAGAAAGAGUGCUCAACCAGCUAAAGAGUUACACAAAGUUUCACAGCAUGUACUCUUGGCACACAAGUAGAGUGUGAAGAAAAUUCUCAAGGAGAAUUGUUUUAAGAAGAGUUGGAGAGCCUGCAUACUUUCAGGGGGAGUUCCUAUGUUAACUAUUGGCAACUAGAUGUUUCAGUUAGGAUGAGAAUAAUUUGAAGAUUGUUAGUUGUUCUGGCAAGUUAUUGCAAUAGAAGACAAAAUAGAGUGUUUGUCUUGACAAGUAAGGUAGUAUAGAUGCAAAGGAUUGGUAGUGAAAAAUACUCCUCUUGUAAUCUUCUAUACUAGAUAAAAUUUGUAUAUCUUGAAUUUGGCUGCCUCAUAUGGUUUUUUUUUUAAUCUUUUAAAAGUUCUUCAGAAUAUUUUCUCUUCAUAACCAAAUAAUUUGUUUAUUUAAGUUUUCUUGUUAAUAUACAUGGAACAGAAACAAGACUAUUAGUUAUUAAAAAUGAUAAAUAUUUUAGAAUCUUGUAUUUUCACAUUUUCCAUAUUAUAUAAUAUACAGUGUCCAAAGUUUGCAAGCAGGUCAUCAAUGUUGAAUUAUGAUUAAAUUAAUAGCAUGUAUUAUUAAUAUUAAUAUCCGCGUUUAUCAUAUGGAUACCUUUAUUAAUUGAUUUGUUGUUCCCUUUUCCCUUGUGUAGCUAUUUGGUUUGGAAUGUGCAUCCGCGCCAAUACUAUUUAAUUGCAAUUCUCUUCAUCAUGUGAUAUAAUUAAAUGAUUAAAGUCAAGCCCAUACGUCCGCAACAGUACUCACCAUAUAUAUAUAUAUGAAAAUAAACUUACUAUUUAUUUAGUAAAAUAAAAAUUAGUUGAAAAGUCUUUAUUCAUUUUCACAAUAAACAACGAUAAAUAUCCACACAUAAAGUUUCAACACCAAGAACCAUUACAAAAACUUGGUACGAACCAUGCAUCCACACAUGGUAUGGACCAAACACCUUAACUAUUCAUAAAAACUUUAACUAUUUAAGUUAAUAAAAGCAUAGAGAAAAAUAUAAACAGGCAAAAAAGAUGAAAAUUGCAUAAUAUAUUUUUGAGUUGUGAAUAUGUUUUUGUAAAAAUAUCACUAGGGUGAUAUUUAGAGCGAAGACAAGAGUAUUCUCCCCGGCCCCUCCUUAAAUUUCCCCGUCCUUUAAAAUGCCCCCAUCACUAUCAAAUAAUUCCCUGCACACAGCCCUGUGUGAGGGGUAAAGUCACGGGAUUAUUAGUGGAGCAAUUUGCUCCACUAACCAAAUAAACUAAGUACUCCUGUCAAGUGGAGCUCUAAAGACAUAUCUUAUAAUAAUAAUAAUAAUAAUAAUAAUAAUAAUAAUAAUAAUGGUGCACACGCUUCAUCAUGCCACUUUUUUGGAAUAAUCCUUGUAUUAUAUCAUUGCUCACAAACAGGAUACUUAUAAAAAAAUAAAAAAACAGAAAAUACAAUGGGACGUGAUAAACAGGAUAGCUCACGGAAUUUCAGAUCUAAAUCAUGGAAUAAAAUCAUCUCUGUCUUGCGUGAUCGAUCGUGUAAUCUUUGUUCUUUUUUAAAAAAGUCGCAACCGCACACUUAAAAAACUGCAAAAUCACAUCUUUCUUUCUAUCUUCCGUUGCCAAGCAUUAUUUUCAAACUCCUUACGAAGAUUUUUUGUUUGUAGAUCAAGUGGUCAAGUAAACAUCGGUUCUAUUUGGGAAUGUAUUUGUACUGAAGUUAAUUUAUUAUUAUUAUUUUAAAUUAAAUUGUUUUGUUUUCAAAUUAUUUUAAUAUGUUGAUAUUAAAAAAUUUGACUUGACCCACUUUCUUCAGCAUCUAGUGUAAUAACUAAAAUCAAACGGCAUUGCAUUUGGUGUAUAAACUAUAAAGGUGUCAGAAGUGUGAUAUCCCACUUUCUUCAUUAUUAGUCUGUAACAACCUUCUCGUUUCCUUAUAUCACUACUGGCCAAAUUGAAGUUUCUCAAAUUCUAAAGUUACAGUUUUAAAAUUAUAUAGGAAUUGAGAGAAAAUUCUGAUAUUUUUAUUGAAAAGUUAGUAAUUCAAUAAUCUAAUCUUAAAACAAUACUCCCUUUGUUGAUAUACAAGUUUAAAACCGACCUAAUCAAAAGAAUUAAAAACUAAGUGAGAAAAAUAAUUAAAAUUCAAAAUUAAUUAAAAAAAUAAUUAAAACUACACAAAUGGAAUCUUCUAUGCCUAAUUUAAAAAGAUUUAUGUCGUGGAUAUAGAAUCAUCUAGAGUACAAUUCAAUAGUUGAAUAUAAAAUUAUGAUUGUUUUAGAUCCGUUUCAUCUUAUAUUAAUGCUUUGAAUUAUAAUAAAAAUAUUAAUAUUUAUAACACAAAUAAUAAUAUUUUCAAUAUUUAUACAUUCAAUUAUAAUAAAAAUAAUAAUAUUUAUGGCACAAAUAAUAAUAAUAAUAAUAAUUUUUAAUUUUAUCCUUCAAAACAACUAUAUGAUUUUUCUUUAAAGGUUAUUAUUAUUAUAUUAUAUACAUAAAGCUAAAUCAUAUGGGAAAAGUCAUGUUCAUCAAGACCCAUAGCACUACGGAUUGCACAUUUGAUGGGGCAUGGUGUGCUGCAGCCCCACACACUGACACCUGGUGCAAGGGCAUUCAUGCCUAGCCACAAAGAGUUCCAAGGCUGCAUGGGGGAGAGGUUAAGCCCCAGGUUUCGAACACCUGGUGUUGGGUCCGCUGACCUGCAUGCUAGGUCCGAACAUGGACCCCCUUCUAUUGGGUCAGGCGUCCUCACCCAAAUCACUUGGGUCUAGACAAGGGUCGAGCCCUUAACCCCCUUGGUUCUGUCCACGGUCCAAUCCCAUACCCCUUAGGGUUCAGACAUGGCCUCAUCCCCAACGCCCUUGGGUCUAACCACGGACGCAAACCCCAACCUGAUUGGGUCCGGACACGGAACCAACCCCCUUGGGUCAAGACAUGAACCCAUCAGGUUUGGUCCUGACGCGAACCCAACACACCAUGUGUCCGUACUCCGAAGGACCCAAACACCAACCCCCUUGGGUCCAGACAAGGACCCAACCCCCCUUAGUCUGGACACGGACGAACACAACCCCUUUAGGUCCGGAUGCGAAAGGACCCAAACUCCUUAGGUCCGGACACGAAAGGACUCAAACCCCAACCAAUUUGGGUCUAGAUACUGACCCAACCCCCUUGGGUCCAGAAAUGGACCCAUCCCCCUUGGGUCCAGACACGCCCCAAUCCCCAACCCCCUUGGGUCCAGACACGUCCCAGUUGGGCCUUGGGUCCAGCCAUGACCCAAAUCAAAAUUAGAAUGUUAAUGAACUCACCAUUGCCAUUAAGCUCCAUUGAGUGUAAACAAUGAAUUUAUAAAAUAGUCAAAAGUGGGAUGUCGUGAUUUCAACAAUGCCGUUUCAGAAAAUUGAUAGUCAUGAUGAAAAUAAGAAUACAGAAUUGUUGAGUUGAAACGUGUACGCCUGAAAUGUAUAGUGAUGAUGGUGGAACUGAUGCGGUUGUAUAGCAGCACCAAAAAGUACUUUCCUAAUGAUUUCCUUGCGGAAGAAAUUAUGGCAUGUUGGAAAACGAUGCCACCCUAACAAUCCAAGAGUUCAAAUUCAACUUGAAUAAAAGCAUGCUAAUUUAGAGGAGAAAGGAUCCAAGAACAUCAUGAAACAGGGGAUUGUUCUAUUUUGUUAUGUAACAAUCUCAACAGCUAAUUAAGAGGUUAGAUUGUAGGGUCUAAUUUCAAAUGCAAGACUCUAUUGAUUCUCAUCAUUAUAGUAAUAAAACCAUGUACAUUUUUAUUAAAUUAAGAGGAAACACAAAAUUAAACAAGAAAAUCUUAAGAUUUCAGAAAUAAAUCUAACAUUGUCGAACGGAUUGUGACCAAACCCAGAUUUGGUGGAAGAUAGAAAUAUGAAAAGAGAGCAGAAAUUGAUGGUCUCUUCUGCUUUUCCUGGCCUCCUUGUUUUGCAUAUAAGGUUCGGCCAUCUAAGCCUUUCAUGGGGUUUGAAUUUCCUGGCCUCCUGAGUUAAUUUCAUCUAACCCAUAUAAGGCUAGACUUGAAUAUUUCUAUAUAUACACUUAAGGCUGGAUGAGCUUGUCUCCUUAGCAGGCCUUCUUAGGCUUUUGUGCUGCCAAACUAUGUCAGCUCUAAGCUCAUUAUUAUCUGAAUGAAAUCAUUGCAUACUUGCUAUCAAGAAGAUUUUUUUCCUGAUGGAUUUCUCUCACAUUGCAACAGCAGUAAUCAAUCAUGGCACCCAACUCAGUUGAAACGGUGAUCGGUACAAUGACUUCAAGUCACGGUUACCUCUUCUUUUCUUUUUCUUUCUUUUUUUUUGUUACGAAAAAACAAGUAAAGUGUAUAUCUAUGAAAUUAAGUUACAGAAAAUGUAAAAUACACUUGUCAUGGCUGAUUGAAAUCGUGGAAGAAAAAACUAGAGGAAAGAUAAUCGAUUGACCCCCAACGAAGACCAAUGCAGAGGAAUUUCAAAGGGGAAAAACGGUGGCGGCUUUAUGAUGCAGUUCAUCUAAAGAUAAACCUAACCUGAAUUAAUUGUUCGGUCUCCUUCAAAGCGAAAUAACUUUGCCAGGUUUCCUCUCAGUGACAUUACAUUUUUAAAGUUAAAAGUGCUGAAGCACAAUUCAAAGAAUAAGUAGUAUUAAACUUAACAAGCUAGUUCAAUGGAGGAGAAUGGUGUGCUGAAACACUAAGAUUUUCAAAAAAAUUGAAGCAUAUCAGAUCCAUGCUGCUGCAUUCGCAAGAAACUAGCACCCAUCAACAAUGUGCUAAAUGUCAAUGCAGAGCUUUAAAUCAUCUACAGAGGCUCAUGAAGAAUAUAGGCAUAAAUGAUAACAGAUAACACACCAGAGCACUCUACGUAAACUGAUAUCUUUAGAAAAUUCAAAGGCAUGAAUGAAAAAGAAAAGCUAGAAAUAUCUAAGUCAGCUCUUAAUUUGUAACAGUCCACAACUUCAUGUUUGGUGUGUACUGUAAACUAUGCUUUCCACAUAAUCAUGAGCUUCAUCUGCAAAAAACCAUUUUCACUUCUUGGGACAAGGGAUCAAAAAAAUACAAACCUGUUGUUGGAUUACAUUCAUAAUUUAUAUCAAGCCCUAGCUGCUGCUCGAAGGAAGUCUUUCAAGGAAAAAAAUCAGGAACAAAAAAUGCUGAGAGGUCCAUCUUGGAGGUCAGAAAGCUGGAGUUCUACCUAGAAGAAGAUACCUCUGGAGAGAGUAAUAAAGGAAGCCUGAACUGCUUAGAGUUCUCUUACCGAAGCUUCAAGUUAAGAUCAUUUUCAUUUCAAUUUGGAUGUAGAAAUAAUGAUGGGAUAUGAAAAUUAGGUUAGUUAUAUUUUGAAAAAGGGUAUAUAUGAAAGUUAAAUCCUCUGUUCAAAUGAACAAAGGGCUCAACUUGAGCAAGAGUUAACAAGCUAUCCAUCGAGGUCAAUGGAACAUACCACUGAUAUUAAUCUUUUACUAUUUAGGGGAAUUCAUAAAUCCCGUAUUACAAGAAGCCAAGAAUUGGUUGGUUGCUCAGCACAACAUAACUGAUACAAACAAUUACUGAUACAAGCACAAGGACAAACACAAGUCACAUCAAAACAGAAAGGCUAAGCAACAAGAACACUUCCACAGAGCACUUCUCACAGGCAAAUUGCUAAACAUGCAGUGAGCAACCAUUGAUUUGGAAUGCGACUGCUUCUCCACAGAGGAUUACAACAAAUUCAGAAAGCAGCCCACACGCUCCUGAUAAGAUCCAAUCACGUUCUGAAUCUGGACAACUUGCAAAAGUUUAUAGCCAAAAAGCUGUAGCAAGUGUCAAUGCAUUCUUCAAUGAAGUAAAACCACCUACGUCGCCAAUGCGGAUUUAUGCACAAUACUGCUGCAAUUGUCAACACCAUAGUUAUGUAAAACACACCAAAGCUGGCAUAGAAACUGUCCAUGUCUAUGAAGCCACCAUCUCCAUUGAAAUCGUUAGGCACUCUUGCGGAUGGUGAUUCUGUUUUGUCGCAACUGUUUUGCAAUGGAGGUCCACAAAGAAGAGGAUUCCCUUUAUAACUGCUCUCAUCAAAGGUACCAAAUUGAUUUUUCAUCUCCAGUGUUCUUCCUGACAAAUUAUUGUACGACACGUUGAAAACUUCUAGAAAGGUCAGUUCAACGAGUUGUUCUGGAAUUCUCCCAUUCAAGGUGUUGUGAGAAAGAUCCAAGCUCUCUAUCUGCUUCAGAUUGGAGAAAGAUGGAGGGAUCAAUCCAGUGAGAUUAUUUCGCGACAGAUUUAGAGAGUAUAUCCCACUUAAGUUUCCCCAUUCUGUCGGGAUUUCUCCAGUGAAUCUGUUACAAGAAAGGUCCAUAACAGACAUGUAACGAAGGAUAUCGCCUUCGUAAGAGUAGAAAUUUUUCUUUGUUGUAAGCUCUACAGAUAUUUUUACACUGAUCUCUGGCCACAAAAUUUUGCCAUAAAGAUAAAAACCUUCGUGCUCCAAUUCUCUUUCCCCCAUGGAUGCAAAUAUUUCUUUCCGGCUUCCAUCAUCUUGUGAGUACGUACUAGUGACAACCCAAGUUUUUUCAUAUGAUGCCGUAAAAUCUAAAUUGCUCAAACAUGAGGGUAACAGACUAGAAAAAUUAUUUUCUGAAAGAUCCAAUAUGCUUAAUUUCCUUAACAAGCAUAAUUGAACAGGAAGUUCCCCAUUGAAUUGAUUAGAUUUCAAAAGAAGAAAACUCAAUUCCGAAAGUCUAUCAAUCCAAUUUGGAAUUGGCCCAGUUAAGUUGUUAUAGCCGAGAUCUAAUGUCACCAAAGAAGAGAUGUUAUAAAAAGCAUUUGGCAGUGGACCGGUCAAUCGAUUUCCGUAUAGGUGGACAUAGCGUAAAUGCGGUGCAUAAAAGCCCAACGGCAAAGACCCAGACAAAUUGUUUUCAGAAAGAUCUAAAAAUUCAAGCCUAGAAGGAUUGAAAUAUUCUUUUGGAAUGGUACCUUCAAACUGAUUUCUGGACAAAUCAAUUGCCUGAAAGGGGUAUAUUGAAGAGUUCCCAAUUCCCCUUGGAAGCAUGCCUGACAAAAGAUUGUUACUUAUAUCAAACCACAAAAAUGAUGAUGCAAGAGAAAAGGUACCAGAUACUUGUCCUGCAAAUUUGUUUCCGUCGAGAAAGAGGUACUCUAGGUGAGUCAUGUUGAACAAAGAGAGUGGUAAUCGCCCUUUGAAAUUGUUAUUGGACAGCUUUAAGGACCACAACGAGGAGCCUACUGCUGGAAAAUUAUGCUUAAGCAGUUCACAAGACAUCUGAUUGUUGGAAAGAUCAAAGUAUUCGAGAGAGCUCAUAUUCCCAAAACAAGGAGGAAUACAACCUGUGAGGCUGUUGUUAGCCAUCAUGAAGUUUUUCAAACGUGGAAAAAUCGAACAUAUGUUGCUUGCAAUUUGACCAUGUAUGUUGUUGCCAGACAUAUCUACUGUCUGAAGGUUGGGUGUUGGAUGUUGUGGCAGCUGCAAAAGACUUGUAAAUGAGGUGUCUCUCAAAUAUAGCCGAUUUAACUUUCUAUUAUUCUCAAACAGCCAAGAUGGGAAAGGUUCUCCAACGAAUUUGUUGUGGGAUAGAUCAAGAAACACCAAAUCAUGUUGGCUAUGCAGGAAGUUUGGAAAUCCAGCUCUGAGUGGUUUUGAAGUACAGUUUGAAGCACUGAAGUAACGAAGCUGGAACUUGGGAGCUGAAGGCUGAAAACUGGGUGCAGCUAUCAGCUCAUUGUUAUCGCAUGCAAUGAACUUGAGGUUGGAGAGGUUCAUAAAUGAACCAAAUGUUAUUGGAACUUGAAAGUAGUUACUUGAAACUGAGAGGUAUUCAAGCUGCGUAAGAUGGGAAAGGUGACUAGAGGCAAUAUUUCCCUCCAAUUGGUUGUCAGAUACAUCCAAGAUUUGUAGAGAUGAUAGAUUUCCAAAACAAGGAGGGAGUACGCCCUUUAGAUAGUUUCUUGAGAGAUAUAGCUUUUCAAGAUUCUUCGGUUCACACCAGCCUGCAGAAUAUAUCAAUAUGUUCAUAUAUCAAUUAUGUAAUUGCUUGGUGAGGUUUUAAAGUUUUAGUUGAUUCUUGUUUCAUUACCUAGGUCGGUUUUAGAUUAUAUUUAAACAACUUUGUUUGUUAGUUUUUUAAAAGAUUAAUUAUCUAUAUUAUUGAUAUUCAUAAUUUUUUUAAUUCAAAGUUUUUUCUAUAAUUUAAGACAGAGAAAUUUUAGAGAUUCAGAAACUCUAGAUUUUAUCCUUUUCUAUACAUAACAUUAUGAGUAAAUUUCUAGUUUAAUAAAAC